This is a long non-coding RNA of Culex pipiens pallens (northern house mosquito), 2216 nucleotides long. RefSeq lists it as uncharacterized. The transcript is spliced from 3 exons. The record is from RefSeq and is a predicted model, not a curated record. NCBI's taxonomy places the organism in Eukaryota, Metazoa, Arthropoda, Insecta, Diptera, Culicidae.
UAUUCGGCUAAUUGAUUGCAAAUUAUCAGUUAGUUGAUUAGCGUCACACUAAUCAACUAGCGCAUUCCCACCCUCUCGAAUUAUCUUGGUAGGAUGAUAAAUCUGUCAAAAAUGCCAAAACAACAAACAAACUUUUACUUAACGUGUGUUUGCUGCGGCAAAUUUGUUCUUCCUGUCCCGGAACGGCCACGAAUCUUAAUGGCCCACUUUUCCAGGUUGCGAAAGAGGAAACUUGUUUUGUUUUCAACUUCCAUCGAAAGAGGAUAUCGAUGGUCUGUUUUUGUACCUUCCGGAAGGAGCGAGAACUGGGUCGAGUGCAGACUAUGACGGUGCUGUGGCUAAACAAACAGACGAACUUCCAAGGCCAUCGGAAUACUCGCCCGAAAAACAACGCUCGAGAAUAGCGCGUCAACACCGAAGGAACAUCCACAACGGCGGGUCGACGAUUUUUUUUGACGACGACACUGUGCUGAUAGACGAGUGCGAAUUCUGCUUGAGGCCAUCGAACUCGUGGGGAUUCCCCGGUGACCUGUCCUGGCCACGGGCGGGCUCCCGGAAAUCAAGAGCAAGCUGAGAGUUCCAGCGAAUUGCAGGCGAAGAAAUUCCAAAAUAAGGAACUCGAAAUGAAACUAGCAACUUCUUCAAGCUGAUGAAGGCCAUGGUCAUCUCAAAACACUAUCAACAAACUUUAAUAACAGAACCUGAACCGACAUCGGUGGCUUGUAGAACGCCAAACGAGAGGUGCAGAAUCUAGUCGGAUGAAAACGCAGGCAGGUUCUUGUGAAAUCGUUGGAAAGGCAAGGCAAGAACGGGCAUAAUGACGAGUUCCUCCUGCGUCCUGCAAUCUGAAUCAGCUGACACAUUUCGGUCAACGAGUUGCUGUGCUGCGACGAAGAAUCGUACGGUUCGCUGCGAGUACUUUUACAGUCCUGACUCAUGGAACGGAUUGUGGUCGUGCUGGAGAUAUCGAACAGACGCUAGCAGAAGAGGAAGAAAACGGUCACUACUUUCAGCUUAACUUGUUCGUUCAUGUAGGUAACUGCGAGCCGAGGCGUCGAGUCCUCGAUCGAUCUGUUAACAAUCCCGGUGACAGCGUUACGAAAGCGAACGGUAAUUCUGAACAGAAACAGCUUAAGCUGCGCGUGCCGAACGGAUCCCUCUUGAAGUCUGCUGACUUUGAACGCAUCACUCCGGCAGACCCCCAAAAACAGCAGAGCACAUCCUAAGGGGAAACCUCAAAAAAUUAUUCAAAUGUAAUGAUUACGUAUGAAAUAAACUUUAUGGGGGAAGGAUGGGUAAGGGGGAGUGAUUUCGAGCGAUGUUCAUAAUUUGGUUAUCUGCGCUUCCGGACGCGAAUUGGGGAUCAUAUCAACUCCAACGGCAAAAGCGUGCUGCACUAUUUCAUACUUUAUCUAGCUCGUCCAACGUCACGACUUCCAAGAAGAUUCUCCCGGAGGUAGCUCGAUUCGAACGGUUGUUGAAUCAUUUGUGUCAUCACGCAUUUCAUGAUAGGGAAGUAAAACGUAGGUUCCGGCCUCAGCUUUUAGGACGUUUGAUCAUUCCCGUUGUAGUAGUCUUCUCCAACAAGAAAUGCAGUAGCUGGUUUUAAAACCGGUGGAAGGAAAAAAACGCAUCACAAAAAUCCAAAGGAUAAAAAAGAAGCCCCAAAUAAAACAAUCUUCCUCACAUAAGUUUAAUUCUUCGCAGGGCCUUAUGCCGCUUUCUUUCAUUCUUCCGGCCCGGUAACGGUCGUAGCCUCACAUGUCCCGGAUGCGUUUCUUUAACUGGGCACAGCUUGUGGAAGAGAAACAGGCGGACUUUUGGGCUGGACACCCCGUGGGGGAAGCUGAAGCGUUCGUUGGACAUCCGUCGAGGGCAGCUUCCAUUUGCUUUGGAGGCCGUGUCCUGCUUAUCUAUCGCAUUGUUUUGCUCCCACUUCUAUAUAAACAUUCGCCGAAAGCUUCUUGUCCUUGGACUCCUUCUUGUGCAGCCAAACUUGGCCGGAUUAUGCAGGCCUCAGCCUUGAGUUUGCUGCUGGUUGUGGCCACGUCGAAAUCCAUGUUCCGGCAGUGCCCGGAACCGGCAUAUACCGGUUUAAACCUCACAACAAAUUACUUAAAGAAACCUUCGGUUCAGAAGAAAGUAAAGAUUAUUUUCAAACUGUCAAAAUGACAUUUCUCAACGACAAGAUUACUUAAUGUAAGAUGGGAAUGGGA